Molecule: ribosomal RNA, 478 nt
Filed under: uncultured bacterium
Lineage: Bacteria
Description: bacterial SSU rRNA
Rfam family: Bacterial small subunit ribosomal RNA
Source: RNAcentral
UUCGCAAUGCCCGAAAGGGUGACGAAGCGACGCCGCGUGCGGGAAGAAGGCCUUCGGGUUGUAAACCGCUGUCGGGAGUUAAGAAAUGUAAGGAUGUUAAUAGCGUCUUUACUUGACUAAGGCUCCGGAGGAAGCCACGGCUAACUCUGUGCCAGCAGCCGCGGUAAUACAGAGGCGGCAAGCGUUGUUCGGAAUUAUUGGGCGUAAAGAGCACGUAGGCGGCUAUGUAAGUCGGUUGUGAAAGCCUUCCGCUCAACGGGAGAACAGCAUCCGAUACUGCAUGGCUUGAGUGUGGGAGGGGAGAGUGGAACUUCUGGUGGAGCGGUGAAAUGCGUAGAUAUCAGAAGGAACGCCGGCGGCGAAAGCGGCUCUCUGGCCCAUAACUGACGCUGAGUGUGCGAAAGCUAGGGGAGCAAACGGGAUUAGAUACCCCGGUAGUCCUAGCCGUAAACGAUGGGCACUAAGUAGAGGGGUUUUA